GAAUGCUGACAUAAGUAACGAUAAAGCGGGUGAAAAGCCCGCUCGCCGGAAGACCAAGGGUUCCUGUCCAACGUUAAUCGGGGCAGGGUGAGUCGACCCCUAAGGCGAGGCCGAAAGGCGUAGUCGAUGGGAAACGGGUUAAUAUUCCCGUACUUGGUGUUACUGCGAAGGGGGGACGGAGAAGGCUAUGUUGGCCGGGCGACGGUUGUCCCGGUUUAAGCGUGUAGGUGUGUGUUCCAGGUAAAUCCGGUUCACUUUAACACUGAGGCGUGACGACGAGGCACUACGGUGCUGAAGCAACAAAUGCCCUGCUUCCAGGAAAAGCCUCUAAGCAUCAGGUAACAUCAAAUCGUACCCCAAACCGACACAGGUGGUCAGGUAGAGAAUACCAAGGCGCUUGAGAGAACUCGGGUGAAGGAACUAGGCAAAAUGGUGCCGUAACUUCGGGAGAAGGCACGCUGACACGUAGGUGAAGUGAUUUACUCAUGGAGCUGAAGUCAGUCGAAGAUACCAGCUGGCUGCAACUGUUUAUUAAAAACACAGCACUGUGCAAACACGAAAGUGGACGUAUACGGUGUGACGCCUGCCCGGUGCCGGAAGGUUAAUUGAUGGGGUCAGCGCAAGCGAAGCUCCUGAUCGAAGCCCCGGUAAACGGCGGCCGUAACUAUAACGGUCCUAAGGUAGCGAAAUUCCUUGUCGGGUAAGUUCCGACCUGCACGAAUGGCGUAAUGAUGGCCAGGCUGUCUCCACCCGAGACUCAGUGAAAUUGAACUCGCUGUGAAGAUGCAGUGUACCCGCGGCAAGACGGAAAGACCCCGUGAACCUUUACUAUAGCUUGACACUGAACAUUGAGCCUUGAUGUGUAGGAUAGGUGGGAGGCUUUGAAGUGUGGACGCCAGUCUGCAUGGAGCCGACCUUGAAAUACCACCCUUUAAUGUUUGAUGUUCUAACGUGGACCCGUAAUCCGGGUUGCGGACAGUGUCUGGUGGGUAGUUUGACUGGGGCGGUCUCCUCCUAAAGAGUAACGGAGGAGCACGAAGGUUGGCUAAUCCUGGUCGGACAUCAGGAGGUUAGUGCAAUGGCAUAAGCCAGCUUGACUGCGAGCGUGACGGCGCGAGCAGGUGCGAAAGCAGGUCAUAGUGAUCCGGUGGUUCUGAAUGGAAGGGCCAUCGCUCAACGGAUAAAAGGUACUCCGGGGAUAACAGGCUGAUACCGCCCAAGAGUUCAUAUCGACGGCGGUGUUUGGCACCUCGAUGUCGGCUCAUCACAUCCUGGGGCUGAAGUAGGUCCCAAGGGUAUGGCUGUUCGCCAUUUAAAGUGGUACGCGAGCUGGGUUUAGAACGUCGUGAGACAGUUCGGUCCCUAUCUGCCGUGGGCGCUGGAGAACUGAGGGGGGCUGCUCCUAGUACGAGAGGACCGGAGUGGACGCAUCACUGGUGUUCGGGUUGUCAUGCCAAUGGCACUGCCCGGUAGCUAAAUGCGGAAGAGAUAAGUGCUGAAAGCAUCUAAGCACGAAACUUGCCCCGAGAUGAGUUCUCCCUGAGACUUAGAGUCUCCUGAAGGAACGUUGAAGACGACGAC
Molecule: ribosomal RNA, 1581 nt
Filed under: Salmonella enterica
Lineage: Bacteria; Pseudomonadati; Pseudomonadota; Gammaproteobacteria; Enterobacterales; Enterobacteriaceae
Description: partial 23S ribosomal RNA
Rfam family: Bacterial large subunit ribosomal RNA
Source: RNAcentral